AGCCACCAGGGAAGCCUGGGUUCCUCAGUUUGGGGUCGUCUUUUGGUUCACUCCUUAUGGAAAAGGGGGAAAAAGAGCUUUGUCGUAAGUUAUUCUCCUGGUUCGCCUCUCUCCCUUUCUUUCUCUCCUGCCCUCCUCCUGCUCAUUCUAAAACAACAAAUUCCUUUUUGAGUUUCCCCAGAGCAGUUUCAUGAUCUUCUGUGACAGCCUGCUCCUUAGUGUCUCAACAUGGCAAGUGCUCAUCCAAGUUUCUCAAGAGACUAUUAAUUCCUACAAUGGAGAAAGAAAUGGCAGCCCACUCCAGUGUUCUUGCCUGGAGAAUUCUUUGGACGGAAGGGCCUGGUAGGCUGCAGUCCAUGAGGUCUCAGAGAGUUGGACAAGACUGAGCCACUGACACACACUGAUUCCUACAAAGUACAUUGAAUUGAAUGCUGGGAGUUUAUUCGUCAAUAUUGACACGGAGAACAAAAAGGAAAACAAGGAGGAGCAGGCUUGUGAAGCUGAUUCCCUGUGGUUGAUGAAGUCUCAGUAAAGCUGCUGGUGCCAUCAAAGAUCAUCUUCGGUUACUUAUCCAAGUGAGGAAGCCUCUUCUGCUAGCUGCAUUCUUUUGUAUAUAUCCAGGCUCCUCCGUUCGUGGGAUUUCCCAGG
This is a long non-coding RNA of Bubalus bubalis (water buffalo), 648 nucleotides long. RefSeq lists it as uncharacterized. The record is from RefSeq and is a predicted model, not a curated record. The transcript is spliced from 4 exons. NCBI's taxonomy places the organism in Eukaryota, Metazoa, Chordata, Mammalia, Artiodactyla, Bovidae.